UACGUAGGGAGCAAGCGUUGUCCGGAAUCAUUGGGCGUAAAGCGCGCGUAGGUGGCCCCUUAAGUCCGCGGUGAAAGUCAAAGGCUCAACCUUUGAAAGCCGGUGGAUACUGUGGGACUAGAGUACGGAAGAGGCGAGUGGAAUUCCUGGUGUAGCGGUGGAAUGCGCAGAUAUCAGGAGGAACACCAAUAGCGAAGGCAGCUCGCUGGGACGUUACUGACACUGAGGCGCGAAAGCGUGGGGAGCGAACAGG
This 253-nucleotide ribosomal RNA is filed under the name uncultured bacterium. RNAcentral describes it as "partial 16S ribosomal RNA". It matches the Rfam family "Bacterial small subunit ribosomal RNA", at positions 524 to 776 of the family's 1533-position model. The record is from RNAcentral.